GACUAGAAGAUAGAAAAAUGGCCCACUGAAGUAGGUAACAUUGACAAAGAGAAAAGGAACCAAAAACAGUUUGAUAUAGGACAGAACUUAUGAUGCUGCUGUUUGGAAACCAGUCCAAAUGGAGUCUGCAGCUUCGAAGCUAUAAAGUGAGUUGCAUGAGGAAAAAAACUCCGUACCAGCCAGGUGGCAUCCAUAAUACUCUACAGCAACC
Molecule: long non-coding RNA, 211 nt
Filed under: Elaeis guineensis (African oil palm)
Lineage: Eukaryota; Viridiplantae; Streptophyta; Magnoliopsida; Arecales; Arecaceae
Description: long non-coding RNA (EGUI_LNC010143)
Source: RNAcentral